CCAAGAUAUUUGCAGUGCACUAUUUCUUUCUGCAGGUAAACAAGCUGUAUCCUGCCACAGGCUUGUUGACUGUGUUUCUCAAGAUUCUAGAAGUCCUGACCUCACAGUGACCCAGACCGUGGUCAUCAGUGGGAACUUGCUGGUAACCAGUCCUCCGCUUGGGUUUCCUGUUGGUGUCCAGUGAAGUAAUGCUGAUGUUGUCUGACACCAGGGUUGAUGUGUGAUGACGGGAAAUAUCCAGAUUUCAUAAUGUCUUGACAAGGACCUGAGAAAGACAUCGCCAUGCACCUGACAUGGAUAUUAACGGCAGACAUGCUAGUACGUGUGCGGGCAAGUGAGGACGUGGGCCUGAACCCCAGCAUGGGCCGUCUCCUCGCCAGAAU
This is a long non-coding RNA of Suricata suricatta (meerkat), 383 nucleotides long. RefSeq lists it as uncharacterized. The transcript has 3 exons. The record is from RefSeq and is a predicted model, not a curated record. NCBI's taxonomy places the organism in Eukaryota, Metazoa, Chordata, Mammalia, Carnivora, Herpestidae.